AAUGGAGUGCCUGAAUAAAGGAUUAUCUUGAUAGGGUAAAUAAUGUAAUUAAGAUUACCUCCAUUA
This 66-nucleotide transfer RNA is filed under the name Dociostaurus tartarus. RNAcentral describes it as "tRNA-Ile". The record is from RNAcentral. Lineage: Eukaryota; Metazoa; Arthropoda; Insecta; Orthoptera; Acrididae.